This 274-nucleotide ribosomal RNA is filed under the name uncultured bacterium. RNAcentral's name for it is "partial 16S ribosomal RNA". It matches the Rfam family "Bacterial small subunit ribosomal RNA", at positions 523 to 796 of the family's 1533-position model. The record is from RNAcentral.
AUACGGAGGGUGCAAGCGUUACUCGGAAUCACUGGGCGUAAAGCGCGCGCAGGCGGCUUGAUAAGUUGGAUGUGAAAGCCUACGGCUCAACCGUAGAACUGCAUCCAAAACUGUCAGGCUCGAGUGUGGGAGAGGAAGAUGGAAUUAGUUGUGUAGGGGUAAAAUCCGUAGAGAUAACUAGGAAUACCAAAAGCGAAGGCAAUCUUCUGGAACACUACUGACGCUGAGGCGCGAAGGCGUGGGGAGCAAACAGGAUUAGAUACCCCGGUAGUCC